Molecule: unclassified non-coding RNA, 365 nt
Filed under: uncultured fungus
Lineage: Eukaryota; Fungi
Description: sequence contains ITS1
Rfam family: 5.8S ribosomal RNA (bases 1-107)
Source: RNAcentral
GAAAUGCGAUACCUGGUGUGAAUUGCAGAAUCCCGCGAACCAUCGAGUCUUUGAACGCAAGUUGCGCCCGAGGCCACUCGGCCGAGGGCACGCCUGCCUGGGCGUCACGCCAAAACACGCUCCCAACCCCCUUCAUCGGGAAUAGGGAUGCGGCAUAUGGUCCCUCGUCUCGCAAGAGGCGGUGGGCCGAAGAUCGGGCUGCCGGCGUACCGCGCCGGACACAGCGCAUGGUGGGCGUCCUCGCUUUAUCAACGCAGUGCAUCCGACGCGUAGCCGGCGUGAUGGCCUCAAAACGACCCAGGAAACGAAGCACACGUCGCUUCGACCGCGACCCCAGGUCAGGCGGGACUACCCGCUGAGUUUAA